Molecule: long non-coding RNA, 147 nt
Organism: Cyprinus carpio (common carp)
Lineage: Eukaryota; Metazoa; Chordata; Actinopteri; Cypriniformes; Cyprinidae
Exons: 3
Source: RefSeq, a predicted model, not a curated record
UCCGAAGCUGCUUCCUCAAACACGAGGAACAGUUUGGGAUGUACGCCUUGUACAGCAAAAACAAGCCACGCUCAGACGCUCUGCUAACGAGCCACGGAAACAGUUUUUUCAAGAACAAGCAGGUGGAGCUGGGAGAUAAGAUGGACC